Molecule: ribosomal RNA, 484 nt
Filed under: uncultured bacterium
Lineage: Bacteria
Description: partial 16S ribosomal RNA
Rfam family: Bacterial small subunit ribosomal RNA
Source: RNAcentral
AUUGAACGCUGGCGGCAGGCCUAACACAUGCAAGUCGAGCGGAUGAAGGGAGCUUGCUCCUGGAUUCAGCGGCGGACGGGUGAGUAAUGCCUAGGAAUCUGCCUGGUAGUGGGGGGUAACGUCCGGAAACGGGCGCUAAUACCGCAUACGUCCUGAGGGAGAAAGUGGGGGAUCUUCGGACCUCACGCUAUCAGAUGAGCCUAGGUCGGAUUAGCUAGUUGGUGGGGUAAAGGCCUACCAAGGCGACGAUCCGUAACUGGUCUGAGAGGAUGAUCGGUCACACUGGAACUGAGACACGGUCCAGACUCCUACGGGAGGCAGCAGUGGGGAAUAUUGGACAAUGGGCGAAAGCCUGAUCCAGCCAUGCCGCGUGUGUGAAGAAGGUCUUCGGAUUGUAAAGCACUUUAAGUUGGGAGGAAGGGCAGUAAGUUAAUACCUUGCUGUUUUGACGUUACCAACAGAAUAAGCACCGGCUAACUUCGUG